Non-coding RNA from Whalleya microplaca, 102 nucleotides. The record is from the annotation of a GenBank genome assembly. NCBI's taxonomy places the organism in Eukaryota, Fungi, Ascomycota, Sordariomycetes, Xylariales, Xylariaceae.
GCAUGAAUGGUGUAGCGGUAACAUUCAACCCUUCCAUGACUGUGUUCGGCUAGGAUGACGAUCGGUUAGGUUGAGCUCGGGGUUCGACUCCCCGUUCAUGCA